ACGUCGGUAGUGCAACGGUUGAGCACGCGCACCCGGAUAAGGUAUCAUGUGGGUUCGAAUCCCAACUGACGGA
Molecule: non-coding RNA, 73 nt
Organism: Parelaphostrongylus tenuis
Lineage: Eukaryota; Metazoa; Nematoda; Chromadorea; Rhabditida; Metastrongylidae
Source: the annotation of a GenBank genome assembly